Molecule: ribosomal RNA, 362 nt
Filed under: uncultured Acidobacteriota bacterium
Lineage: Bacteria; Pseudomonadati; Acidobacteriota
Description: bacterial SSU rRNA
Rfam family: Bacterial small subunit ribosomal RNA
Source: RNAcentral
GAUAAUGACGGUACCUGUAGAAGAAGCUGCGGCUAACUUCGUGCCAGCAGCCGCGGUAAUACGUAGGGGGCAAGCGUUGUUCGGAAUUACUGGGCGUAAAGGGUGCGUAGGCGGUUUUCUAAGUUUGGUGUGAAAUCUCCCGGCUCAACCGGGAGGGUGCGCCGAAAACUGGCGGGCUUGAGUAUGGGAGAGGAAAGUGGAAUUCCUGGUGUAGCGGUGAAAUGCGUAGAUAUCAGGAGGAACACCUGUGGUGAAAACGGCUUUCUGGACCAUUACUGACGCUGAGGCACGAAAGCGUGGGGAGCAAACAGGAUUAGAUACCCUGGUAGUCCACGCCCUAAACGAUGCAUACUUGGUGUGGG